CCUGGCCUGGAAGCCCCUGCGCAGGCCAGACCUGCAGGCCAUGGACCCCAGCAGGAACCGAAGUCUCACCCCAAGCCUUCGUACACAAGGAGCAGCCCAGGUGAGGGAUGGCGGACGCACCUGUGGCUCUACUGGCGCAAGAAGGGAGCCGUGGUCCAAGAAGCUGACAGAGAGGAAGCAGUGCAUUGGUGAAGGCAACGUUAGGUGUGAUUUCCAUUCCUGCUGGGAGACCCAGGUCACAGCCCGGGAGCUUCGUCCAGCCUGUGGAUGGAGCCUGACUGCCUGAAGAUGGAACUUCUGUGUCCUCCCACCCUUGGUGGUCUAAGGUUAUUGCUCUCAGAGCUGAAUUGACAGGAGGUGUGUGUGUGCACACUCACUUGUGUGCACAUGCCUGCGUUUAUGCGUGUUUUCACUCAACCAGAAGAGCAAUUCAUGGGAUUUAGCCGUUUUGAGGCACCUAGAAGUUGAGGCAGUUAGAUGUGCAGCCAGGUGUGAAUGUAACGUGCACCAUUGUAUAAAGGAGGUGACUCAGUUGCUGCAGGGAGGAUUGGGUUGUCUGGAAGUAUUAGGUUCAUUUUAUAUUUGUGUCAGAAGAAAUGUCUGACUUUGGGGCAGAUGACAUAGUGGCCGCGGCCCAGGCAUGGUUCCCUAGGUUGAAAUCAGGGAAAAGCUAAUACUCUCAGACAGGUAUGCGUUUUCUUUGGUGGCUGCAGGGUUUCUGCUAGAAAAUGCACUAUUAAUCAGCACUUGUCCAAGAAAGACCCAUCCGUUUCUGUUGUCAUUCAAGCCACAGUUCCUGAUUUACUCAGACAAGAUACUGGGCCAGUUCAAUGUCUCUAGCUGAGCCUGACCUUGGGGUUUGCGUCUCAAGUCUGAAAUCUUUUUCAGUCCUCUGUGCAUAGUUUUGUCUCAUUUUAAUGACUGCAUCUUCUUGGUACAUUUAUUAUACUCAGAACUGAAUGGCACACAAUAGCCUUGUGUUAAUAAAAGCUACCGUAGCGCUAUGGGUGAACCGCUGAGUUGAAGUCCAAUGGACUCUACGAUGCAGGUAUCCAGAAAUACGUUGUAACUCUACCUGCCUCCCUGCCAGCCUGGCUCCUCCUCUGGGGGAGCUCCUGGCAUGGUCCUAGUGUUGUCCUGCAUGGGAACAACAGCUGCAUGGGCCAGCUGUUUUGGAUCUAAAGAUGUGCAGUGAAACUCAGAUUCACAUCCCUCAUGUUUAUUUGGGUCAUCAUGGUUUUGCAUGUUGUAUAUAUGUCUGGAGCACUUCAUACACCUCUAUCCACCACAGGCACUCUUAAUCACAGUCUGUAAUAGUAAUAAGGCAAACUAUACAGCAAAGAGAAGCAUGUAAAUAUGUACCAAUUCUUAUGAAGUUGUAAUUGUUUAUAUGUAAAAAGUAUGUAUAUACGAAAGGGAGAAGGUACAAGGAACGUGCUGAAUAACAUGCAAACUGCAUUGCAUCCCUGUCCCAUUCCUGAAAGCUCACAUCUAGUUGGAGCGUCAGUUCCUCUCCUCAGAUAUCAUUGUUCUCACUCUUCUAUCAUAGGCACCUUCUUUACAUCUGAUUACAAUAUCCAGCAUUUCAGAACUGGGUUUUUGCCCCCAAAAAGGUAAAUAUGAACAUUUAUCACUGACUCCUCCUGGUCCAGUGAGCAGCAACAGAAUUCAAGUAUUUAAAAAUAAGGUGCAUUUCUAAAUUGUAGGCUAUACUUUCUUUUUCCAAACCAAUGGGCUAGAGUGAAUUUCCUCCGAGUACUUGGGCUGUCUUACUGCUAGCUUUUCUAACAGGGGAAGUCUGUAUAAAUGCAUCAUCCGCUAAUAACGCAAGAGGAAGGACCCUGAAAUGUGGCCAGAAAUGCUUACUGUGUAACCAGGACAUCAACAUUUACAUCAUAUUGUAUUAACAUCAUCACACUCUGUGCUCAACACACAGAACAACAUAGAUACUUCAGUUUGUCUAAAGUAAAAAUCCACGUAAAUCGCAGAUUUCUUUGUUGACACCAGUGUGUUGUUUACCUUGUGCCCACGGUCCAGAUUUUGAGCUGGAGAAGGACUAUGGCUGUUCCUUAAAGUCUCUGCCCUGGCAGAAUCUGUAGCCUUCAGGAUACCCCGAGUGCCUUACAGGGCUUGUGAACACCGACCAAAAGUCAAAAAGAAGAGAGUGCCCAAGCGUGGGUUUGGAGGCACUGAUGCAUUCGCCAACACUCACUGUCAUCCCAUCCUUGAAACCCUGAGAGGGAGUAUGUGUUUUAACACAGAGUGGAAUUUAAGUUUAGGCUCAGGAAACUCAUAUUCUGAAUAUAGGUAUCAAAUCAUAUAUUUGUUUACUGUAUAUUUUUUAAAAAGCUUUAUUGUAAAUUUAUGCAAAAACUAACCGGCCCGUUUUCUUAUGGCAGCAUGCCGAGCAGUGUGUGUGUCCUCCCAGGCACUCCCUUCAUAGUCACCCUCUAACCACGUGACAUUCUGUUCAGUGCUAAUCCGUAUUCACAGGCCUAACGUAGGUUUGUAUGGUGAUCUACGAGAUUUUACACAUAUUUUUGUAUUGUGAUUCCUAUGAUAUAUACCAGAGAAUUUUUACUCAUUUGUAAAUUAUUGUACAGUUUUAAUAAAAAAUGUUUUAAAUCUUAGACG
RNAcentral lists this long non-coding RNA (2634 nucleotides) under Macaca mulatta (Rhesus monkey). Its description in RNAcentral is "lncRNA (ENSMMUG00000044315.2)". Lineage: Eukaryota; Metazoa; Chordata; Mammalia; Primates; Cercopithecidae. The record is from RNAcentral.